UACGUAGGGGGGCAAGCGUUGUCCGGAUUUAUUGGGCGUAAAGAGCGUGUAGGCGGCCAGAUAGGUCCGUUGUGAAAACUCGAGGCUCAACCUCGAGACGCCGAUGGAAACCAUUUGGCUAGAGUCCGGAAGAGGAGAGUGGAAUUCCUGGUGUAGCGGUGAAAUGCGCAGAUAUCAGGAAGAACACCCGUGGCUAAGGCGGCUCUCUAGUACGGUACUGACGCUGAGACGCGAAAGCGUGGGGAGCGAACAGG
RNAcentral lists this ribosomal RNA (254 nucleotides) under uncultured bacterium. Its description in RNAcentral is "partial 16S ribosomal RNA". It matches the Rfam family "Bacterial small subunit ribosomal RNA", at positions 524 to 776 of the family's 1533-position model. The record is from RNAcentral.